UACGUAGGGUGCUAGCGUUGUCCGGAUUUAUUGGGCGUAAAGGGCUCGUAGGCGGUUUGUCGCGUCGGCUGUGAAAUCCCGAGGCUCAACCUCGGGCCUGCAGUCGAUACGGGCAAACUAGAGUGUGGUAGGGGAGACUGGAAUUCCUGGUGUAGCGGUGAAAUGCGCAGAUAUCAGGAGGAACACCGGCGGCGAAGGCGGGUCUCUGGGCCAUAACUGACGCUGAGGAGCGAAAGCGUGGGGAGCGAACAGG
RNAcentral lists this ribosomal RNA (253 nucleotides) under uncultured bacterium. RNAcentral's name for it is "partial 16S ribosomal RNA". It matches the Rfam family "Bacterial small subunit ribosomal RNA", at positions 524 to 776 of the family's 1533-position model. The record is from RNAcentral.